This 575-nucleotide ribosomal RNA is filed under the name Listeria monocytogenes. RNAcentral's name for it is "partial 23S ribosomal RNA". It matches the Rfam family "Bacterial large subunit ribosomal RNA", at positions 67 to 638 of the family's 2925-position model. The record is from RNAcentral. Lineage: Bacteria; Bacillati; Bacillota; Bacilli; Caryophanales; Listeriaceae.
ACCGAUAUGCUUUGGGGAGCUGUACGUAAGCGUUGAUCCAGAGAUUUCCGAAUGGGGGAACCCACUAUCUUUAGUCGGAUAGUAUCCUUACGUGAAUACAUAGCGUGAGGAAGGCAGACCCAGGGAACUGAAACAUCUAAGUACCUGGAGGAAGAGAAAGAAAAAUCGAUUUCCUGAGUAGCGGCGAGCGAAACGGAAAGAGCCCAAACCAAGAAGCUUGCUUCUUGGGGUUGUAGGACACUCUAUACGGAGUUACAAAAGAAAGUUAUAAAUGAAGCGGUCUGGAAAGGCCCGCCAAAGACGGUAACAGCCCGGUAGUUGAAAUAGCUUUCCCUCCAGAGUGGAUCCUGAGUACGGCGGAACACGUGAAAUUCCGUCGGAAUCCGGGAGGACCAUCUCCCAAGGCUAAAUACUCCCUAGUGACCGAUAGUGAACCAGUACCGUGAGGGAAAGGUGAAAAGCACCCCGGAAGGGGAGUGAAACAGUUCCUGAAACCGUGUGCCUACAAGUAGUUAGAGCCCGUUAAUGGGUGAUAGCGUGCCUUUUGUAGAAUGAACCGGCGAGUUACGAUUUGU